RNAcentral lists this transfer RNA (72 nucleotides) under Camelus bactrianus (Bactrian camel). It matches the Rfam family "tRNA". Rfam says of the family: Transfer RNA (tRNA) molecules are approximately 80 nucleotides in length. Their secondary structure includes four short double-helical elements and three loops (D, anti-codon, and T loops). Further hydrogen bonds mediate the characteristic L-shaped molecular structure. tRNAs have two regions of fundamental functional importance: the anti-codon, which is responsible for specific mRNA codon recognition, and the 3' end, to which the tRNAs corresponding amino acid is attached (by aminoacyl-tRNA synthetases). tRNAs cope with the degeneracy of the genetic code in two manners: having more than one tRNA (with a specific anti-codon) for a particular amino acid; and 'wobble' base-pairing, i.e. permitting non-standard base-pairing at the 3rd anti-codon position. The record is from Rfam by way of RNAcentral. Lineage: Eukaryota; Metazoa; Chordata; Mammalia; Artiodactyla; Camelidae. RNAcentral also lists the same sequence under 1 other name.
GAGGAUACGGCUCAGUGGUAGAGUGCAUGCCUAGCAUGCGUGAGGUUCUGGGUUCAAUCCCCAGUAUCACCG